CCUACGGGUGGCUGCAGUAGGGAAUAUUGCUCAAUGGGGGAAACCCUGAAGCAGCAACGCCGCGUGGAGGAGGAAGGUUUUAGGAGUGUAAACGCCUUUUGGGAGAGAAGAGAAUGACGGUAUCUAACGAAUAAGCACCGGCUAACUCCGUGCCAGCAGCCGCGGUCAUACGGAGGGUGCAAGCGUUACUCGGAAUCACUGGGCGUAAAGAGGGCGCAGGCGGGCUUGGAAGUCAGAUGUGAAGUCCGGUCGCUUAACUACAGAACUGCAUUUGAAACUCUGAGUCUAGAGUGUGGGAGAGGUAGGUGGAAUUCUUGGUGUAGCGGUCAAAUCCGUAGAUAUC
RNAcentral lists this ribosomal RNA (343 nucleotides) under uncultured bacterium. RNAcentral describes it as "partial 16S ribosomal RNA". It matches the Rfam family "Bacterial small subunit ribosomal RNA", at positions 338 to 698 of the family's 1533-position model. The record is from RNAcentral.